UCGCCAGAAUACUACAAGCAACAGCUUAAAACUCAAAGGACUUGACGGUGCUUUACAUCCCCCUAGAGGAGCCUGUUCCGUAAUCGAUAAACCCCGAUCCACCCUACCCUCUCUUGCUCAGCCUAUAUACCGCCAUCUUCAGCAAACCCUAACAAAGGUCACAAAGUGAGCGCAAACGCCACCACCGCGAAGACGUUAGGUCAAGGUGUAGCCUAUGAGACGGUAAAAAAUGGGCUACAUUUUCUGUCUCAGAAAAUUCUACGAAAACCCUUAUGAAAUCUAAGGGUCCAAGGAGGAUUUAGCAGUAAAUUAAGAAUAGAGUGCUUAAUUGAACCAGGCCAUAAAGUGCGCACACACCGCCCGUCACUCCUCUCAAAUAUAUUUAAGGAAUAUUCUAACUAAACGCCCAAAUAUUUAUAUAGAGAGGAUAAGUCGUAACAUGGUAAGCGUACUGGAAGGUGCGCUUGGACAAAUCAAGGCAUAGCUUAAUAUAAAGCACCUGGCCUACACCCAGAAGACCUCAACACCACUUGAUUGCCUUGAGCUAACACUAGCCCUAAACAUUACCAAUACUAAUACCAAGCCAACACACACUAAACCAUUCACCCGCACAAAGUAUAGGCGAUAGAAAUUCUAAUCUGGCGCUAUAGACGUAGUACCGUAAGGGAAAGACACAAAACCACCCAAGCACAAAACAGCAAGGACUAACUCCUGUACCUUUCGCAUAAUGGAUUAGCUAGAAACAAUUUCACAAAGAGAACUACAAGCCAAAUUCCCCGAAACCAGACGAGCUACCCAAGAACAGCUAAAAGAGCACACCCGUCCAUGUGGCAAAAUGGUGGGAAGAUUUUUGGGUAGAGGUGACAAGCCUACCGAGCCUGGUGAUAGCUGGUUAUCCAAGACAGAAUCUUAGUUCAACCUUAAGCUUACCUACAGAACUACCUAAUCCCCCUGUAAACUUAAUUGUUAGUCUAAAGAGGGACAGCUCUUUAGACACUAGGAAAAAACCUUAUAGAGAGAGUAAAACCCCACAACUACCAUAGUUGGCCUAAAAGCAGCCAUCAAUUAAGAAAGCGUUCAAGCUCAACACUAAUCAUCUUAAAAAUACCAAACACUUAACUGAACUCCUCACACCACAUUGGAUUAAUCUAUCACCGUAUAGAAGCAAUAAUGCUAGUAUAAGUAACAUGAAUAUUUUCUCCACUGCAUAAGCCUAAAUCGGACCGAAAACCUCACCGGUACCUAACAGCCAGGCAUAACAAGCAUAAACAAGCCCAUGCCUACCUUCACUGUUAACCCAACACAGGCAUGCCCCAAGGAAAGGUUAAAAAAAGUAAAAGGAACUCGGCAAACUCAAACCCCGCCUGUUUACCAAAAACAUCACCUCUAGCAUUAC
Molecule: ribosomal RNA, 1396 nt
Filed under: Macaca assamensis (Assam macaque)
Lineage: Eukaryota; Metazoa; Chordata; Mammalia; Primates; Cercopithecidae
Description: partial 16S ribosomal RNA
Rfam family: Bacterial small subunit ribosomal RNA (bases 1-480)
Source: RNAcentral